GGGGCUGAACGGUUUCGACUGCGUGUGUUGAGUUAGGGGAAGCGUGUCGGUGCAGGCAAGAGACCACCGUAAGCGUCGCUGCAAACCUAUAAGCGCCGAUUCCAAUCAGCGCGACUACGCUCUCGCUGCCUAAGUAGCGAAGCGUGUCUGUCAGCCCGGGGUUGCCCUCGACCCGGUUCCUGGCAUCAGCUAGAGGGCUUUACUGUUCGGCUCGGUCACGGAGUCGAAUGGGACAUCAAACAGUGACUGGGAUCGUCAUCCUGGCUUGUUCGCGAGACUGGGAGAUCCAAGUAGAGACUUAGCGAACUGCACACGGAGAAGCCCUAGCGAUUCAACGUAGGACCCGGGUUCAAUUCCCGGCAGCUCCACAA
Rhodococcus erythropolis PR4 is the source of this 371-nucleotide non-coding RNA. The record is from Rfam. NCBI's taxonomy places the organism in Bacteria, Bacillati, Actinomycetota, Actinomycetes, Mycobacteriales, Nocardiaceae.